GCGACCAUCACCUGACGGAGGAGGAGCGGAAGCACUUCUGCCAGGAGAUCCUCAGCUUUGCCAGUCAGCAGGAGGACAAGGCAGGUCACAAGGUGGUACUGCCCAUGCACUCGUUUGCACGGCUAAAGGAUCUCCAUUUUGACCCUCCCAAUGCUGUGGUCCACGCGGGUGGCGUCCUCACUGUGGAGAUAACGGUUUGCAGCCAGAUGCCUGUCCCUGUCCAUGUGGACCAGAUUGCUGUGAACGUCCACUUCAGCAUUGAAAAAAACAACUACCGGAAGAC
This 283-nucleotide long non-coding RNA is filed under the name Rattus norvegicus (Norway rat). RNAcentral's name for it is "long non-coding RNA NONRATT017262". Lineage: Eukaryota; Metazoa; Chordata; Mammalia; Rodentia; Muridae. The record is from RNAcentral.